RNAcentral lists this ribosomal RNA (403 nucleotides) under uncultured bacterium. Its description in RNAcentral is "partial 16S ribosomal RNA". It matches the Rfam family "Bacterial small subunit ribosomal RNA", at positions 29 to 526 of the family's 1533-position model. The record is from RNAcentral.
AUUGAACGCUGGCGGCAGGCCUAACACAUGCAAGUCGAGCGAGCGGCGGACGGGUGAGUAAUGUAUGGGGACUGCCCGAUAGAGGGGGAUAACUACUGGAAACGGUGGCUAAUACCGCAUACUAUCGGAUAACCCAUAUGGGAUUAGCUAGUAGGUGGGGUAAAGGCUCACCUAGGCGACGAUCUCUAGCUGGUCUGAGAGGAUGAUCAGCCACACUGGGACGGAGACACGGCCCAGACGCCAAGGGAGGCAGCAGUGGGGAAUAUUGCACAAUGGGCGCAAGCCUGAGGCAGCCAUGCCGCGUGAAUGAAGAGGGCCGUAGGGUUGUAAACCUCUGUCGCUAGCGAACGGGUAGGUGGAGAAGAAGCGCCGGCUAACUACGUGCCAGCAGACGCGGUAAUAC